GACGAACGCUGGCGGUAUGCUUAACACAUGCAAGUCGAACGAGAAGUUUUUUAUUGAACCUUCGGGGGAUAUAAGAGACAGACAGUGGCGAACGGGUGAGUAACGCGUGGGCAACCUACCUAUCGGAGCGGGAGAGCCUCGAGAAAUCGGGAGUAAAACCGCAUAACACGGAUAUAUCGCAUAAUGAAUCCGUCAAAACUCCGGUGCCGAUAGAUGGGCCCGCGUCUGAUUAGCUAGUUGGUAAGGUAAGGGCUUACCAAGGCAACGAUCAGUAGCCGGUGUGAGAGGGCGAACGGCCACACUGGAACUGAGACACGGUCCAGACUCUACGGGAGGCAGCAGUGGGGAAUAUUGGGCAAUGGGGGCAACCCUGACGGAGCAAUACCGCGGGAGUGAAGAAGGUUUUCGGAUGGUAAAGU
Molecule: ribosomal RNA, 419 nt
Filed under: Pseudoramibacter alactolyticus
Lineage: Bacteria; Bacillati; Bacillota; Clostridia; Eubacteriales; Eubacteriaceae
Description: bacterial SSU rRNA
Rfam family: Bacterial small subunit ribosomal RNA
Source: RNAcentral